CCUACGUGUGGCUGCAGUGAGGAAUAUUGGUCAAUGGCCGGAAGGCUGAACCAGCCAAGCCGCGUGAAGGACGAAGGUGCCAAGCAUUGUAAACUUCUUUUGUCAAGGGCCAAAAUCAGGCUCGAGAGCCUGACCGAGGGUACUUGAAGAAAAAGCAUCGGCUAACUCCGUGCCAGCAGCCGCGGUAAUACGGAGGAUGCGAGCGUUAUCCGGAUUUAGUGGGUUUAAAGGGUGCGUAGGCGGACUGUUAAGUCAGCGGUAAAAGCCCGGGGCUCAACCCCGGGGAGCAGUUGAAACUGGAGGUCUUGAGAGGUCGAGAGGUAUGCGGAAUGCGCAGUGUAGCGGGGAAAUGCGUAGAUA
This 360-nucleotide ribosomal RNA is filed under the name uncultured bacterium. RNAcentral describes it as "partial 16S ribosomal RNA". It matches the Rfam family "Bacterial small subunit ribosomal RNA", at positions 338 to 696 of the family's 1533-position model. The record is from RNAcentral.